Molecule: non-coding RNA, 1589 nt
Organism: Rattus norvegicus (Norway rat)
Lineage: Eukaryota; Metazoa; Chordata; Mammalia; Rodentia; Muridae
Source: RefSeq, a predicted model, not a curated record
AUGAUGUCACUGAGAACUGCCGUAGACUACCUGCUGUACAGAUUUCCUUACAUUGACCAGAUUUGAGGGUGACACUUUCAGAAGAGUCUCCUGUUUAAGAGUGGAAACCUUUACAUACUAAAUCUCUCUAAAGGACCUUUUAUACUUGACAAAAAGAGUGAAGGUCAUGAUGCCUAAUGAUGAUGUCACUGAAAACUCUCAUGGACUACCUGAUGAACAACUUUCCUUACAUUGACAAGAUUCAAGUUUGCACUUUAAAGGCUCCACCAAGGGACGACUGACACUGAAGCAGACGCGCACGGUCAAAUAUCAGAUGGAGCUCAGUGAGUCUCACUGAAGAACUGAAGGAAGGACUGAGAGAGGUUCUUCUUGAAAUUGUUUGAAGAAGUGAAAACUGGUAUGUGUUUAUUUGUUCACAUUCAUAAAGCAUGGCCAUUGCUCUAGUGAUGGACAGAUGGCACAACUUUUAAGAGGCAAACUGACUUUCUUCCCAAAGAAAUAAAUCUUCAACUUCAUGGAGGCAGUUUCAUUCUUAGGUACAAAUGUUUAAAAUCCCCUGAGAAUGCUUCCUACAGCUAUCAUUUCCUGUAUAUUGUAAUAUCCUCGGAAAUGGGUUUUCUCUUUGCAUUUUGUUUCAAGUAUUAAGAUCUACAAGAAAGUUUUGAUUGCGUGUAUCAUUUGGAGAUGUUGUCUUUUUUUCUUUCCUAUAGAUGGAUUCUGGGUUGUAGACUCUCAGGCAUUUUAUGAUCCAUCUCUCACAAUAGGGGCUGCAAAUGACAUGAGUCUUCAUCAGGAAUAAAGGAAAGAAGACAGGUAAAGUAAUAGAGAACUCCCUGAUGUAUUUAUCGCCUCUGAGUCUGAGAUGACUGUUGUCAUUAACUGUAUAUAUAAACUUUAACUUUGAAACAAAGUACACUCCCAUGAGUUUCAGCCUUUGUACUUUUCAUUGUGUAAAUAUUUGCAAUAAAGAGAGCAUUAAAAGUAAUAAAGUUGUGUGAUGUGUAUAACUCUUUUAACAGUUUCCCUUGUAUAACUUAAUAGAAUAUAUAAAUGCUUUUCCUUCAUGGUAAAUGUAAUGAAGACAAUGUCUCUUCUAACAAUAUAUGUAGUAAUUUUGACCUCUAUAAAAUUUAAUAUGUGCAUAACUUGCCUAAACAUCCACCGCAAAUACUUAUGGGAUACUUUCUAUACUUACUCAGUGUUUUUUCCUAAAUAUUGUGUUAAAAUGCAUUUAGCAGAAUAGAUAUUGUGGUGGAUGCAGGGAGGAAGGAAACUGAAUGGGACGGGAAGUAGAGAAAGUAAUGGGUAGGAGGAAAUAGGUAUAGUGGUUUUGCAGGAAUUAGGUAUAGUGGGUUUGGAGGAAUUAGGUAUAGUGAAUCCAUGGAAAAGGGAAUGGAAAACACAAGUGUUGGGUGGGCAUCUCUAGGAAGUGCCAGAGACCUGGGAAAGGCAAAUCCCCAGGGAUCUAUUGAUGUGACUCUAGCACUGGGGAUACAGAUCCUUAAUAUGCCACUUCUGUAGACAGGCAUGACUCCCAGUGGUGUGACAAGGAAAAAAAAACACCCACAGAACCUUCAAUCCAACAUGAA